Molecule: ribosomal RNA, 430 nt
Filed under: uncultured Acidobacterium sp.
Lineage: Bacteria; Pseudomonadati; Acidobacteriota; Terriglobia; Terriglobales; Acidobacteriaceae
Description: bacterial SSU rRNA
Rfam family: Bacterial small subunit ribosomal RNA
Source: RNAcentral
AACGCGAAGAACCUUACCUGGGCUCGAAAUGCUGUGGACCAGCUUAUGAAAGUAGGCCUUCCCGCAAGGGACCGCAGUAUAGGUGCUGCAUGGCUGUCGUCAGCUCGUGUCGUGAGAUGUUGGGUUAAGUCCCGCAACGAGCGCAACCCUUGUCCUGUGUUGCCAUACUGUUAAAAGUGGAACUCGCAGGAGACCGCCAGGGAUAACCUGGAGGAAGGUGGGGAUGACGUCAAGUCCUCAUGGCCUUUAUGUCCAGGGCUACACACGUGCUACAAUGGACGGUACAAAGGGCUGCCAACCCGCGAGGGGGAGCCAAUCCCAAAAAACCGUUCUCAGUUCGGAUUGCAGGCUGCAACUCGCCUGCAUGAAGCUGGAAUCGCUAGUAAUGGCGGAUCAGAACGCCGCCGUGAAUACGUUCCCGGGCCUUGUA